Molecule: long non-coding RNA, 558 nt
Filed under: Vulpes vulpes (red fox)
Lineage: Eukaryota; Metazoa; Chordata; Mammalia; Carnivora; Canidae
Description: lncRNA (ENSVVUG00000007681.1)
Source: RNAcentral
GUUUCCUCAGGGACACACAAAACCACCGUUCCCAUAGCAACACUGUCUUGUGAUGUCAGAAAUCAGGGCUAGGCCUUGAAUGAUAAAACAAAAGCAUGUUGGCUAGCUGGCAAGGAAAGCGUGGUGAAAAGGAUGGUGCUAGGCUCCAAUGAGAGGAAGCACUGCGUCUGUACCUACACACCAUGUAAUUGUUUUAUACUUGAGAUUUCAGAGAAAACGAGAUAUUGAUUUAAGGGGAAGCCUCAAUGUAGAAGCAGUUGGAGUAGCUGUUGAGUUUGCAGAUACUCAAGUGCAACCACUAACAAAUGGUGUUGAAGAAUCCAGCAUCAACAUAUCUGCCAAGAUCUCUGAAGUGACUAAACUUAGUUGCCAUGGAAUGUUGGUAUCCUGUCCGUGGGAAGAAGAUCAAUAAUCGUAUUUAAAUAUGGGCCCGGGACGGGGUGACUGGGUGACAGGCACUGAGGGGGGCAUUUGACAGGAUGAGCACUGGGUGUUAUACUAUAUGUUGGCAAAUCUAACUCCAAUAAAAAUAUAGCAAAAAAAUUAAUUAAAAAAAAU